RNAcentral lists this long non-coding RNA (293 nucleotides) under Cricetulus griseus (Chinese hamster). Its description in RNAcentral is "lncRNA (ENSCGRG00015036258.1)". Lineage: Eukaryota; Metazoa; Chordata; Mammalia; Rodentia; Cricetidae. The record is from RNAcentral.
AAAUGCCCUGAAACUGGAGUUACAAGUGGGUUGUUUUGUCACCAUGUGGGUGCUGGGCAUCAAAUGCAAGAACAGCCAGUGCUCUGAACUCUUCAACCCCUUAAGUGACUAUGGAGUUUCUCUCUGACCUACUGGAUGGUGCUGAUUGUAGCAAAAGAGCCAACAUGUAGGAGUGAACAGCUGUCUGAACAACCGAAUUGUGUGUGCCCUGGACAUCAGAGUGCCCUUAUGCCAAUUGUUUCAUCAGUCAACUCAUUUUCAUAACAGCACCACAAAUUCAAAAACAAAUAAAC